CAGUGCUCUGACUUAGAUGGCGA
This 23-nucleotide small nuclear RNA is filed under the name Arabidopsis thaliana (thale cress). RNAcentral describes it as "snRNA_11075". Lineage: Eukaryota; Viridiplantae; Streptophyta; Magnoliopsida; Brassicales; Brassicaceae. The record is from RNAcentral.